This 1101-nucleotide long non-coding RNA is filed under the name Lonchura striata (white-rumped munia). RNAcentral describes it as "domestica (Bengalese finch) lncRNA (ENSLSDG00000010448.1)". The record is from RNAcentral. Lineage: Eukaryota; Metazoa; Chordata; Aves; Passeriformes; Estrildidae.
GUUGUUUAGAGAAAAGUCAUAUGAGAUUAAAGAAAUAUUCAGCAUCCAGACAUAAAUUAUUAUACAGUACUUCACUGAAGACUGCAUAUAUUUUCUAGAGUGUUUUUGAUGGAUGUGGGACUGUGCUACUUGCAUAAUAUUUCCAGGCAAGAUGUUUAAUGUGUAAUAGCAACAUCAACAAAUGUAUACGCCUCUUGCUCAAGCAUUAUAGAAAAAGAAAAAAUUAAAGAUAGCUUCUUUUAAAUGUUGUUGCAUCUGGAAGUCUGGCUGAGAAAUAAAUGCAAUAAAUUGCCAAAACAAAAUACAAGUAACAUCUCAAUGCAAAAUUGUGGGGUAACCAAUUUUUGCUUCCUUUUGUCAAGAGUUGAAAUCCCAAAGUGAUUCAGAAGUAUUUCCAAAAAUAUUUUCAGUAUGCAACAUAUUUCACUUUCUAAACCAGAUUCUUUGCAUAACAGAUCUGUAAGGAGUCCACAGCCUUCUGGAGAAAGUAUAGGAGGUAGUGCCUCAAAUUCUUGUUUGUAAGAGAAAAAUAACCAUACAAGAUUACUGUGAGUAAAGGUACUGUAAAGGCUCUUGGUAGCAAUGGUUGCUAAUGAUGCCAAGAAUACUAAAAAAAAAAAAAAUCCUUCAAACAAACAACCAUGUUUGCUGAAAAAGAAUACCCGAGAAGAUUUAAAACAGUAUAUAACAUCAUCUGUAGCUUUCCUUUCUUUUUUCCUCCUUAGCAAACCCAUCCUGUGACAUUUUUUUUUUCUGUUUCUCUGACUACAGAAUUAAUAUUACUUUUGAAUACUAUUAUUUUAAUGUAUUUUUUCAAGUUUUCUUAGAAUUUAAAUUUUUAUUAACUCCUUUCUUUUCUAACUCCACUCAAAAUAUUAGCAAAAAUCAAGACAGGGGAUAAGGAGUGUCAAAGACAAGAUUUUUAGGGACAUUGCUCCCAGGCAGCUACAAAUACAAACACAAUGAAUAUUGGCAGCAUUUAAUUCAGCUUCCUCCUGAAGGCAAAAAAACCUUAAGUCCUCCCUUGAAGGAGAAGGAAAAAGUGCCCAGACCUAGUCAGAAUCAACCUUGUAUCAAGAGCUGCACAAUUGUUGUAAUUCC